GACGAACGCUGGCGGCGUGCCUAAUACAUGCAAGUAGAACGCUGAAGGAGGAGCUUGCUCUUCUGGAUGAGUUGCGAACGGGUGAGUAACGCGUAGGUAACCUGCCUGGUAGCGGGGGAUAACUAUUGGAAACGAUAGCUAAUACCGCAUAAGAGUAGAUGAUGCAUGACAUUUACUUAAAAGGUGCAAUUGCAUCACUACCAGAUGGACCUGCGUUGUAUUAGCUAGUUGGUGGGGUAACGGCUUACCAAGGCGACGAUACAUAGCCGACCUGAGAGGGUGAUCGGCCACACUGGGACUGAGACACGGCCCAGACUCCUACGGGAGGCAGCAGUAGGGAAUCUUCGGCAAUGGACGGAAGUCUGACCGAGCAACGCCGCGUGAGUGAAGAAGGUUUUCGGAUCGUAAAGCUCUGUUGUAAGAGAAGAACGAGUGUGAGAGUGGAAAGUUCACACUGUGACGGUAUCUUACCAGAAAGGUACGGCUAACUACGUG
Molecule: ribosomal RNA, 495 nt
Filed under: uncultured bacterium
Lineage: Bacteria
Description: partial 16S ribosomal RNA
Rfam family: Bacterial small subunit ribosomal RNA
Source: RNAcentral